Molecule: ribosomal RNA, 953 nt
Filed under: uncultured Bacteroidota bacterium
Lineage: Bacteria; Pseudomonadati; Bacteroidota
Description: bacterial SSU rRNA
Rfam family: Bacterial small subunit ribosomal RNA
Source: RNAcentral
AGAGUUUGAUCCUGGCUCAGGAUGAACGCUAAGGCUUAACACAUGCAAGUCGAGGGGUAGCAGGGUAGCAAUACCGCUGACGACCGGCGCACGGGUGAGUAACACGUAUCCAACCUUCCCAUAACUCGGGGAUAGCCUUUCGAAAGAAAGAUUAAUACCCGAUGGUACUUAUAUAAGGCAUCUUAAAUAAGUUAAAGAUUUAUUGGUUAUGGAUGGGGAUGCGUUCCAUUAGAUAGUUGGUGAGGUAACGGCUCACCAAGUCUUCGAUGGAUAGGGGUUCUGAGAGGAAGGUCCCCCACAUUGGUACUGAGACACGGACCAAACUCCUACGGGAGGCAGCAGUGAGGAAUAUUGGUCAAUGGGCGAGAGCCUGAACCAGCCAAGUAGCGUGAAGGAUGAAGGUCCUAUGGAUUGUAAACUUCUUUUAUAGUAGAAUAAAGUGACCCACGUGUGGGUUUUUGUAUGUAUACUAUGAAUAAGGAUCGGCUAACUCCGUGCCAGCAGCCGCGGUAAUACGGAGGAUCCGAGCGUUAUCCGGAUUUAUUGGGUUUAAAGGGUGCGUAGGCGGAAUAAUAAGUCAGUUGUGAAAGUUUGCGGCUCAACCGUAAAAUUGCAGUUGAUACUGUUAUUCUUGAGUGUACAUAAGGUAGGCGGAAUUCGUGGUGUAGCGGUGAAAUGCUUAGAUAUCACGAAGAACUCCAAUUGCGAAGGCAGCUUACCGGGGUACAACUGACGCUGAGGCACGAAAGUGUGGGUAUCAAACAGGAUUAGAUACCCUGUAGUCCACACAGUAAACGAUGAAUACUCGCUGUUUGCAAUAUACCGCAAGCGGCCAAGCGAAAGCAUUAAGUAUUCCACCUGGGGAGUACGCCGGCAACGGUGAAACUCAAAGGAAUUGACGGGGGCCCGCACAAGCGGAGGAACAUGUGGUUUAAUUCGAUGAUACGCGAGGA